AUACAGGGGGAUAACAGUUAGAAAUGACUGCUAAUACCGCAUAAGACCACAGGAUUGCAUGAUCCGGUGGUAAAAACUCCGGUGGUAUGAGAUGGACCCGCGUCUGAUUAGGUAGUUGGUGGGGUAACGGCUCACCAAGCCGACGAUCAGUAGCCGACCUGAGAGGGUGACCGGCCACAUUGGGACUGAGACACGGCCCAAACUCCUACGGGAGGCAGCAGUGGGGAAUAUUGCACAAUGGGGGAAACCCUGAUGCAGCGACGCCGCGUGAGCGAUGAAGUAUUUCGGUAUGUAAAGCUCUAUCAGCAGGGAAGAAAAUGACGGUACCUGACUAAGAAGCACCGGCUAAAUACGUGCCAGCAGCCGCGGUAAUACGUAUGGUGCAAGCGUUAUCCGGAUUUACUGGGGGUAAAGGGAGCGUAGACGGAGAGGCAAGUCUGAUGUGAAAACCCGGGGCUCAACCCCGGGACUGCAUUGGAAACUGUUUUUCUAGAGUGUCGGAGAGGUAAGUGGAAUUCCUAGUGUAGCGGUGAAAUGCGUAGAUAUUAGGAGGAACACCAGUGGCGAAGGCGGCUUACUGGACGAUGACUGACGUUGAGGCUCGAAAGCGUGGGGAGCAAACAGAAUUAGAUACCGUGGUAGUCCCCGCCGUAAACGAUGACUGCUAGGUGUCGGGAGGCAAAGCCUUUCGGUGCCGCAGCAAACGCAAUAAGCAGUCCACCUGGGGAGUACGUUCGCAAGAAUGAAACUCAAAGGAAUUGACGGGGACCCGCACAAGCGGUGGAGCAUGUGGUUUAAUUCGAAGCAACGCGAAGAACCUUACCUGCCCUUGACAUCCGGCUGACUGGCGAGUAAUGUCGCCUUUCCUUCGGGACAGCCGAGACAGGUGGUGCAUGGUUGUCGUCAGCUCGUGUCGUGAGAUGUUGGGUUAAGUCCCGCAACGAGCGCAACCCUUAUCUUUAGUAGCCAGCAUUUCGGAUGGGCACUCUAGAGAGACUGCCAGGGAUAACCUGGAGGAAGGUGGGGAUGACGUCAAAUCAUCAUGCCCCUUAUGGGCAGGGCUACACACGUGCUACAAUGGCGUAAACAAAGGGAGGCAAGCCUGCGAGGGUGAGCAAAUCCCAAAAAUAACGUCUCAGUUCGGAUUGUAGUCUGCAACUCGACUACAUGAAGCUGGAAUCGCUAGUAAUCGCGAAUCAGAAUGUCGCGGUGAAUACGUUCCCGGGUCUUGCACA
Molecule: ribosomal RNA, 1235 nt
Filed under: uncultured bacterium
Lineage: Bacteria
Description: bacterial SSU rRNA
Rfam family: Bacterial small subunit ribosomal RNA
Source: RNAcentral